Molecule: ribosomal RNA, 427 nt
Filed under: uncultured bacterium
Lineage: Bacteria
Description: bacterial SSU rRNA
Rfam family: Bacterial small subunit ribosomal RNA
Source: RNAcentral
UGGGGAAUUUUGGACAAUGGGCGCAAGCCUGAUCCAGCCAUGCCGCGUGCAGGAUGAAGGCCCUCGGGUUGUAAACUGCUUUUGUACGGAACGAAAAGCCUCUUUCUAAUAAAGAGGGGUGAUGACGGUACCGUAAGGAUAAGCACCGGCUAACUACGUGCCAGCAGCCGCGGUAAUACGUAGGGUGCGAGCGUUAAUCGGAAUUACUGGGCGUAAAGCGUGCGCAGGCGGUCUUGCAAGACAGUGGUGAAAUCCCCGGGCUCAACCUGGGAACUGCCAUUGUGACUGCAAGGCUGGAGUACGGCAGAGGGGGAUGGAAUUCCGCGUGUAGCAGUGAAAUGCGUAGAUAUGCGGAGGAACACCGAUGGCGAAGGCAGUCCCCUGGGCCUGUACUGACGCUCAUGCACGAAAGCGUGGGGAGCAAACA